GGUCCGGUAGCUCAGUUGGUUAGAGCAGGGGACUCAUAAUCCCUUGGUCGGGGGUUCGAGUCCCUCCCGGACUACUA
RNAcentral lists this transfer RNA (77 nucleotides) under Planctomycetaceae bacterium. Its description in RNAcentral is "tRNA-Met". It matches the Rfam family "tRNA". From Rfam's summary of the family: Transfer RNA (tRNA) molecules are approximately 80 nucleotides in length. Their secondary structure includes four short double-helical elements and three loops (D, anti-codon, and T loops). Further hydrogen bonds mediate the characteristic L-shaped molecular structure. tRNAs have two regions of fundamental functional importance: the anti-codon, which is responsible for specific mRNA codon recognition, and the 3' end, to which the tRNAs corresponding amino acid is attached (by aminoacyl-tRNA synthetases). tRNAs cope with the degeneracy of the genetic code in two manners: having more than one tRNA (with a specific anti-codon) for a particular amino acid; and 'wobble' base-pairing, i.e. permitting non-standard base-pairing at the 3rd anti-codon position. Lineage: Bacteria; Pseudomonadati; Planctomycetota; Planctomycetia; Planctomycetales; Planctomycetaceae. The record is from RNAcentral.